RNAcentral lists this transfer RNA (72 nucleotides) under Camelus bactrianus (Bactrian camel). It matches the Rfam family "tRNA". Rfam says of the family: Transfer RNA (tRNA) molecules are approximately 80 nucleotides in length. Lineage: Eukaryota; Metazoa; Chordata; Mammalia; Artiodactyla; Camelidae. RNAcentral also lists the same sequence under 1 other name. The record is from Rfam by way of RNAcentral.
GAGGGUAUAGCUCAGUGGUAGAGCACAUGCCUAGCAUGCAGGAGGUCCUGGGCUCAACCCCCAGUACCUACA